Molecule: long non-coding RNA, 639 nt
Filed under: Equus caballus (horse)
Lineage: Eukaryota; Metazoa; Chordata; Mammalia; Perissodactyla; Equidae
Description: lncRNA (ENSECAG00000053259.1)
Source: RNAcentral
UGGACUGAAUCGUAGCACCAGCUCUCCUGUGUCUCCAGCUUGCAGACGGCAGAUUGCAGGACUUCUCGGCCUCCAUAACCGAACAGAAUAGGUGGAAACGGGCAGAAUUUGGAGCCAAAGCACGUGGUGGAAGCUGCCUCAGGACUUCUGUGACCUCAGGUCCUCAGCACUUAUAAAGUUACAGCGGGCCCCAAGUUCCUGUCGCACUUUCCAAUGCUGGAAUCAGCCAUUUCUCCCCGGAGAAAACUGCCUUUCUACUAGUGACAUCUACAUUCAUUCCUACGUCGAUCAUUCCUACGUCGACAUAUUGCAAACCAUAAGUUCACAGCGACACUUGCAACUCCGAUGAAUAACGCCGAGAUUACGCUCAUCUUCUCCUUUCCGUAUUUGUAACGUGCUCUAAUAUCGGUAAACCUGGCUCCCGUUACCCUCAAUAUCUUUGCUUAUUUGACCCAUCUGUCUCUUGUCCCUGCUGCUGUCCCCGACGUGGACGGGGAUGCCUCCUCACCCCGCAGGAGCUCCAACCUCCAAGGAGGAAGGAGGGAAAAAAGGAGGGAGAGGGAGGGAAUCUUCCCACCUUUCAGAGCAUCACAGUGUUGCCUUUUUAGAGUGUAUAAAGUCGAUGCAUGUGCGUGUUUG